This 500-nucleotide ribosomal RNA is filed under the name uncultured bacterium. RNAcentral describes it as "bacterial SSU rRNA". It matches the Rfam family "Bacterial small subunit ribosomal RNA", at positions 15 to 518 of the family's 1533-position model. The record is from RNAcentral.
GAUCCUGGCUCAGGAUGAACGCUGGCGGCGUGCCUAACACAUGCAAGUCGAACGGACCUAUAUUAACAGAGACUCGGUGAAGUGGUUUAGGUUAGUGGCGGACGGGUGAGUAACGCGUGGAGAACCUGCCCUGUACUGGGGGAUAACAGUGAGAAAUCACUGCUAAUACCGCAUAAGCGCACGAAACCGCAUGGUUUUGUGUGAAAAACUCCGGUGGUACAGGAUGGCUCCGCGUUGGAUUAGCCUGUUGGCGGGGUAACGGCCCACCAAAGCUACGAUCCAUAGCCGGCCUGAGAGGGUGGACGGCCACAUUGGGACUGAGACACGGCCCAGACUCCUACGGGAGGCAGCAGUGGGGAAUAUUGCACAAUGGGGGAAACCCUGAUGCCAGCGACGCCGCGUGAAGGAAGAAGUAUCUCGGUAUGUAAACUUCUAUCAGCAGGGAAGAAAAUGACGGUACCUGACUAAGAAGCCCCGGCUAACUACGUGCCAGCAGCUGC